This 462-nucleotide ribosomal RNA is filed under the name uncultured bacterium. RNAcentral's name for it is "SSU rRNA". It matches the Rfam family "Bacterial small subunit ribosomal RNA", at positions 26 to 518 of the family's 1533-position model. The record is from RNAcentral.
AGAACGAACGCUGGCGGCAUGCCUAACACAUGCAAGUCGAACGCUUUUGGGGCUUCGGUCCCAAAGGAGUGGCGCACGGGUGAGUAGCGCGUGGGAACCUGCCCUGUUGUGGGGGACAACCGAGGGAAACUUCGGCUAAUACCGCAUACGCCCGGGGGAAACUCCGGGGAAAGAUUUAUCGCAGCAGGAGGGGCCCGCGUCGGAUUAGGUAGUUGGUGGGGUAACGGCCCACCAAGCCUGUGAUCCGUAGCUGGUCUGAGAGGAUGAUCAGCCACACUGGGACUGAGCACGGCCCAGACUCCUACGGGAGGCAGCAGUGGGGAAUAUUGGACAAUGGGCGCAAGCCUGAUCCAGCAAUGCCGCGUGAGUGAUGAAGGCCUUCGGGUUGUAAAGCUCUUUCGCACGCGACGAUGAUGACGGUAGCGUGAGAAGAAGCCCGGCUAACUUCGCGCCAGCAGCCGC